This 253-nucleotide ribosomal RNA is filed under the name uncultured bacterium. RNAcentral describes it as "partial 16S ribosomal RNA". It matches the Rfam family "Bacterial small subunit ribosomal RNA", at positions 524 to 776 of the family's 1533-position model. The record is from RNAcentral.
UACGUAGGUGGCAAGCGUUAUCCGGAAUUACUGGGCGUAAAGCGCACGCAGGCGGUCCUUUAAGUUUGACGUGAAAGCUCCCGGCUUAACUGGGAGAGGUCGUUGAAUACUGGAAGACUUGAGGAAAUGAGAGGGGUGUAGAAUUCCCGGUGUAGUGGUGGAAUGCGUAGAUAUCGGGGGGAAUACCAGUGGCGAAAGCGGCACCCUAGCAUUUUUCUGACGCUCAUGUGCGAAAGCGUGGGGAGCGAACGGG